GUUGUCAUGUUAACUACUAAUUAAGCGUCACAUUACAGAGCUGAAAUGUAUUAAUGCUAAAUUCAAUUAGGGAAUAUCGUUAUGCUACGGAGUUCGCUAUUUUAGCUUUACAGCUAACUGAAAGGGUUAAGUUGAGUAGUGAUCUAUAUUAAAAUACAUCCACGGUAGUAAUUUGCUAUAUUGCAAACUUACAACAGCACUGACCCGUCUGUAAUAUGUCUGUAAUAUGCUGAUCAACAUGAUGAACAUCAGCAUCUAUUACAGACCGGUCAGUGCUGUCCUAGAAAAACAAUAUAUUGCUAAAGCCUAUUUUUAGCGAUCGUUCUCCUCAGGUCACAUCAUAUAUUGAUUUCUUUUAUUUUUUAGUCUACGUGUGUGUGCGUGCGUCUGUAUGUUUGACAACUGGCAAAUUAUUCAAUCAAUAGAGGUGGUAGUGACUGCAUAUUAAUGAUGAAUUGAAUUCACCUCAGUUUAGUAGAUCUCUUUUGUCCAAACAACUGCCCUUAAUUGUGCUAACAAUCAUGCAGUUCACAUGUUGAAUAGCACAUAAGCAAGUUCUUUACAUUUUAUUACAGUUCUGUAUUUAUGACCACGUUGUUUUCUGCUUUGUCCAACAGCUUGUCAUUUCCCACCACAUCCCUUUUACCCACACCAACUCCUCUACUGUACACCCCUUCAUUAAAACCAACGGCUCUUUUAAGAGCCACUUCAACACUGUCCUCUUGCUACUGCUCUCCCCCUCUCUCUCUCUCCCUCUCUCUCUCUCUCUCUCUCCCUCUCUCUCUGUCUCACACACACACACACACACACACUUAAUUUCUGGAAUCCCUGUUGUCUUGAAGUAAGUAUUGUUAUUCUAUUUUUUUAUUUAAUCUUUCUUUGACCUCACUCUCUCUCUCACUGUCCAAAACACUCUGCCAUGUCCUUUUGUUUUUCCUGAGCUUGAACGUGUUUAUAGCCUCUUUACACCCCUUUGUCAUUCUUUCUUUUUGUCUGACUAUGCCUUCAUUCCUUCCUUACCAAUAUAGUGCUGAAAUGGCUGCUCAGCAGGACACAGGGAAAGCAGAGGAUGCUCUUUUCUUUGCAGACAUGCUUCUGGCGCAAGUCAAAGCUAAUGAACCAAAGAUUCCACCAUCCACCCACAAGAAGCCAACAUCAGCCAAAGGCAAAUUUCAUGUCCGGUGGACCGAGAGAGAUGUUGAAGGACGUCCAAUGAUAAAAAGAAGCAGAAGUGGAGAGACACGAAGACGUGUUUCAGCUACAGUGGUUGCCAGUGACCGCUCUACUCCUUUUGAGUCAGCUGAGGAGGUUCUCCCAGUGACCCAAUCUAACAGCUCUCAACACUUAUUUGACUGUGAGAUGCAGAAACUGCAGGACAUUCUGACCUCAGCAGAUGUUCCAGGUAGAAAUGAGCAGCCUUCUACGUCCACAUCGUGGUGCUUGCGCCAAUCUGCAGCCCAAGAUGAGUGGCGGAAAGCAAGGCGCCAUCACCCCAACUGUUUGCUGUCCUGCAACAGUGUUCCAGAGAGGAACUGCAGCCACUGCACAUCUCCUGCCAUUAUUCGCUGCAGAGACUGCAUGCCGGAGGAGUGGCUCUGUAUGGAUUGUGACAUACAUAUACACACCAAACUCACACUACCAUAA
RNAcentral lists this long non-coding RNA (1644 nucleotides) under Sparus aurata (gilthead seabream). RNAcentral describes it as "lncRNA (ENSSAUG00010008646.1)". The stretch from base 685 to 731 matches the Rfam family "Histone 3' UTR stem-loop". Lineage: Eukaryota; Metazoa; Chordata; Actinopteri; Spariformes; Sparidae. The record is from RNAcentral.